RNAcentral lists this ribosomal RNA (468 nucleotides) under uncultured bacterium. Its description in RNAcentral is "partial 16S ribosomal RNA". It matches the Rfam family "Bacterial small subunit ribosomal RNA", at positions 28 to 507 of the family's 1533-position model. The record is from RNAcentral.
GAUGAACGCUGGCGGCGUCCUUAAAACAUGCAAGUCGAACGAAAAGGCCCGGAUUUUGUGGGUUGUCCGUUUGCGGAAGGGGUGGGAAAAACGCGUGUAUCAUCCCCUUACAUUUGGGGUACUUCUUGGAAAAUGGGGCAAUAACAGGGUAGAAGUUCUUGCUCCGUGUGGGGGGUUGGAAAGUUCCGGCGGUGGGGGUUGGAAUCGAGGCUUAUCAGCUUGUUGGUGGGGUAGGGGCUUACCAAGCUUUUGACGGGUAGCCGGCCUAGGAGGGUGACCGGCCACAUUGGGACUGAGAUACGGCCCAGACGCCUACGGGAGGCAGCAGUGGGGAAUAUUGCACAAUGGGCGGGAGCCUGAUGCAGCAACGCCGCGUGCGGGAUGACGGCCUUCGGGUUGUAAACCGCUUUCGCCUGUGACGAAGCGUGAGUGACGGUAAUGGGUAAAGAAGCACCGGCUAACUACGUG